AUGGCAUUUUGUUAUGUUCUGUAUACUAAAUUGGUUUCAUUUCCUUGGCAGACUACUUCAAGGCGUCUUGCUGACAGGAAGAGUGCGAAGUUUCAGAAGAACGUCACAAAGAGGGGCUCAGUGCCUGAAACUACUGUGAAGAAGGGGAAUGACUAUCCUGUUGGACCUAUCGUGCUUGGAUUCUUCAUCUUUGUGGUCAUAGGAUCAUCCUUGUUUCAGAUUAUCAGGACGGCUACUAGUGGUGGGAUGGCUUAA
This 255-nucleotide ribosomal RNA is filed under the name Triticum aestivum (bread wheat). RNAcentral describes it as "partial small subunit ribosomal RNA". The record is from RNAcentral. Lineage: Eukaryota; Viridiplantae; Streptophyta; Magnoliopsida; Poales; Poaceae.